UGGGGAAUAUUGGACAAUGGGCGGAAGCCUGAUCCAGCAACGCCGCGUGAGGGAUGACGGCCUUCGGGUUGUAAACCUCUUUCACCACCGACGAAGCGCAAGUGACGGUAGGUGGGGAAGAAGCACCGGCCAACUACGUGCCAGCAGCCGCGGUAAUACGUAGGGUGCGAGCGUUGUCCGGAAUUAUUGGGCGUAAAGGGCUCGUAGGCGGUUUGUCGCGUCGGGAGUGAAAACCUCGGGCUAACUCGGGCUUGCUUUCGAUACGGGCAGACUGGAGGGUAUGCAGGGGAGAACGGAAUUCCUGGUGUAGCGGUGAAAUGCGCAGAUAUCAGGAGGAAC
RNAcentral lists this ribosomal RNA (339 nucleotides) under uncultured Nocardioides sp. Its description in RNAcentral is "bacterial SSU rRNA". It matches the Rfam family "Bacterial small subunit ribosomal RNA", at positions 355 to 707 of the family's 1533-position model. Lineage: Bacteria; Bacillati; Actinomycetota; Actinomycetes; Propionibacteriales; Nocardioidaceae. The record is from RNAcentral.